This 7619-nucleotide long non-coding RNA is filed under the name Carica papaya (papaya). Its description in RNAcentral is "long non-coding RNA (CPAP_LNC002742)". Lineage: Eukaryota; Viridiplantae; Streptophyta; Magnoliopsida; Brassicales; Caricaceae. The record is from RNAcentral.
GAUAUUGGGAUUAAUAAGCUUGGUGGGAAUGUGUAUGAAGAAGGAAAGGUUUAUGGGAAGAUGUAUUUUGGUGAUAAUUUUGAUAGGUUGGUGAAGGUGAAGACUGCAGUUGAUCCAGGAAAUUUCUUCUGGAAUGAACAGAGUAUACCUCCUCUAAAAACUGCGGCAUAGACAAUAUAUAUAUAUAUGAUAGGUUCACAAAAUUAGUUUGUGAUCAGGAAUGGAAAUUCCUUGACAUCUAUAUACAUACAUAUAUAUAUCAUUUGAACCAUAAACAGAGAGGUUUAUUAUGAUUAUCUCUCUGUAUUAUUAGUUGUAUUGAUUUCAAUCAAUCACUAUUAUCAAAAAAUUUCUCCUUUUUUCCCCUACAUAUAUACAUAUAUAUAUAUCAUUUGGUGGGACAAAAAUUAUAAUGUGAUGAUGGGCUUUUCUUUAUACUGUUUAAGGUCCAAGUUUUGGCCCAAAUUCCAUGCCUUUCGUUAAGCCUUCCUCGGACACGAAUAGGCCUUUCUUCGUAAAAUCUUGCGACCUAAAAAAUGCUAACUUUCUAACUUUAGAAAUCGAAAACAUGUCGAAACAAUGAGAUAUCAACCUCGAUUAUCUUUUGUCGUUAUACCUACUAAAUUCUCGAAAGUUAUGUUGGUUCGUACAUGAUUCUCGUUCGCAAUCGUCUUCUUUCUUAUUUGCAACCCCUUUGCCUUUCUUAACCAAUAUACUCCAAUCUCGAAUUUUAUUCACUUCGGAGAAAAGAUACGUAACUCAUUAGUAUGUCGUAUUAUUCUUUUUUAAUAAAUAAUCCCACUUACGUGGUUUGUAAAACGGUAUUUAUAUAAAAGAAAAAAAUGUUAGUAAGUGUUUGUAAAAAACAAUAUUUAAUUGAGUUUUUAUAAUAUAAGAUUUACGAAAACAUAAUAUGAUUAUAUUUUAAUUAAGAUUGAAAUCUAAUUUAAGUUUGAUAUAAUCAAAUCUAAUAUGAUUAUAGGGUAAUAUAUUAAAUUAAACAAAGACUAAGUGAAUUCUACUACACCAACUCUAUAAUAUAUGUAUAUAUAUAUAUAUAUAUAUUUUAUGUUGAAAAGAUCGGGUGAUCUUAGUGAAAAUUCAAAUGGAACAACAAGCACGAAACGACAUGACGUUAUCGCGAGGACAGGAGACAAAGCGACAAAAACAAUGUCGUUUUACAAAGGCCAAAAAGAGUAGUCUCAUAAUAUGAAUCCAGAGAAUGACACGUGUUACAACCACAUGAUGCCACGUGUCCGACUGAAAAAACGCAAACGCGGAGCGGCUCUGGAGAUACCAGGUAGGAAAGGGUUGAAAAGUCAACCUCCGAGUGGGCUGGCCGACUGAUUGAAGCCAGUUUGACUUGGUCAACCUUAUAAAUUUCACGCUCUCCACGUGAGACCAAGAGAUUUUUGGCGCACACGCACCCACAUGAUAAUUUUAAGACGCGCCUCCUCGUGGUGUAAAAUCAAACCAUGUUUAUCGUUUCAAUAAAUUAAAUUAAUUUUUUUAAUUAUCAAGUACCUAAAAAAUAAUUUUCACUAUAAAUAUUACAUACACGAUAUCAAAUUUUCGAGUGUUUCUUUUAGUUNNNNNNNNNNNNNNNNNNNNNNNNNNNNNNNNNNNNNNNNNNNNNNNNNNNNNNNNNNNNNNNNNNNNNNNNNNNNNNNNNNNNNNNNNNNNNNNNNNNNNNNNNNNNNNNNNNNNNNNNNNNNNNNNNNNNNNNNNNNNNNNNNNNNNNNNNNNNNNNNNNNNNNNNNNNNNNNNNNNNNNNNNNNNNNNNNNNNNNNNNNNNNNNNNNNNNNNNNNNNNNNNNNNNNNNNNNNNNNNNNNNNNNNNNNNNNNNNNNNNNNNNNNNNNNNNNNNNNNNNNNNNNNNNNNNNNNNNNNNNNNNNNNNNNNNNNNNNNNNNNNNNNCCAUCAACAUUCACCUUUCACAAAUUUCUGAGAGGUUUUUGCUAAGUUAUAAGUCAUUAAUUUUACUAAAUCAAUUAUUAUAAAUUGAUCAUAUUCGUAAAAAAAUUUAAUCCUUAAUUUUUAAAUAAAGUACAAAUAUUUUAAUUACACUAAACCAUUGAUUGUACUAAUUUUUUUAAUAUAUACCAAAAAUGUUUAUUAUAUGAGACAUGUGACAUAUAACCAAGCAAAGAUGGUAACGAUUAUGUUUUGGGUUAUUGAGUAAGAGUAGAAGUUGGGCACGUAGUUUAUUUGACUAAUAAUAUCUUAAUGCAUCUCAACUUACUAUAACAUAAUAUAAUAUAAUUAUAAUAAUAACAAAUAUAGAAUAUUAAUAUUUUAAAAAAACUAGUAGAAAUACUACUACUAGUAAUGUAAAAAUAUUCAUAAGACUUACGGAAAAAAUAAAUAUUUUAAUAAAAUUUGACACUACUCAAUAUUAAACUUAUCAAAAUGAGUAAAGAAAGUAAAUAAAAUAAAUUAGUUUAGAGUUAAUUGAAAAAAAAAACUAGUUUAGGGAUUGUGUUAAUAACAAAUCUAAAAUUUCUACUAAAUUCAUUUUAAAAUUUACACAUAUUUAAUUUAAAUAACGAUAAAAUUUUAUAUCGAAUAGUAAAGAUUGAAUUAAUAAAUAUUGGUAAUUCUUUCGAUAGUUUAUAUGCAAUAAUUAAAUUUUGUUUAACGUAAUCGGGAAUAUUUUAUUUUAAUCGUUUAUAAAAUUAUAUGUAAACUUAAAACUUAUCAUUUCUUCGUUAAAAUUUACGCCUCGUAUUAUUAAAAAGUUUAGAUUCGGGAAAAUUUAAAAAACGAAUUUUGAAUUUUCAAUCAUAAAACUCUUCAAAUUCUAAAAUACUUACAUAAUUUUUCUAUGUAUCAAAAUCACUUACGAUCCAACUUGGAAAAUUUGGGAUUGUGACUUUUAGAAUGCUUGAAGUCUUAUUAACAAUCGGCAAUGAACCAAUGAAUUUGGAUGAAUAAUUUAUUUGGAAUUAGUUGGUAUGCACGUUUGACUUUUUCCUUGGUGAAGACUUUGAGUUUUGUAUGAUUGGAAGGUUGCUUGUUCCGUAAUUAAAGACUAAAAGGUGAUAAGAUGCUUAUAUAUAUAUAUAUAUAUAUAUAUAUAUAUAUAAACCAAAUAUAAACAUGGGGAAAUAAAAUAUUGGAAGAACCAAGAGAUUUUGACUAUGUAUGUUUUGAUCUAGUUUAGAAGAAAAAAAAAAUUCUUUUUUUUAAUAGCUCAACUUUAAUUAGUGUAACUAAAACCUCAUUAAAAAUAUAUAUAGUAACAAUUAUUUUCAUAAUAUAAAGUAUUUUGUUGUUAAAUAUUAAUAUAUGCUGAAAGUCGUAGUUUAAGUAUUACCUCGUAAUGGCUAUAAUCAAAUAGAGUCUAUUGGAUCGAACUUUUGACGGAAAAACAAAGAUAGUUAGAGAUUUAUUCGUUGGCUUAAGUGGUCUGUGAUACGUGUGAGUAAAAGAACAAGCGGUAUAGGCUUUUGGGAUUUCUAAAGUUUCAAUAAGGUAAUGGCUGCAAGGCAAGUUUGGAGAUUCAUCGAGUAUUCUCAUACUCUAAGUGCAAGGUUACCUAAGAUUAAAUACAAUUAUGAUGGAGAUUUUAUGACUGUAUUUUAAGAUUUAUACUAGAAUAUAUAUGGAUCGACUUUUGACGGAAAAACAAAGAUAGUUAUAGAUUUAUUCGUUGGCUUAAGUGGUCUGUGAUACGUGUGAGUAAAAGAACAAGCGGUAUAGGCUUUUGGGAUUUCUAAAGUUUCAACAAGGUAAUGCUUGCAAGGCAAGUUUGGAGAUUCAUAGAGUAUUCUCGCACUCUAAGUGCAAGGUUACUUAAGAUUAAAUACAAUUAUGAUGGAGAUUUUAUGACUGCAUUUUAAGAUUUAUAUUAGAAUAUAUAUUGGAUCGACUUUUUGACGGAAAAACAAAGAUAGUCAGAGAUUUAUUCGUUGGCUUAAAUGGUCUGUGAUACGUGUGAGUAAAAGAACAAGCGGUAUAGGCUUUUGGGAUUUCUAAAGUUUCAACAAGGUAAUGCUUGCAAGGCAAGUUUGGAGAUUCAUAGAGUAUUCUCGCACUCUAAGUGCAAGGUUACCUAAGAUUAAAUACAAUUAUGAUGGAGAUUUUAUGACUGCAUUUUAAGAUUUAUAUUAGAAUAUAUAUUGGAUCGACUUUUUGACGGAAAAACAAAGAUAGUCAGAGAUUUAUUCGUUGACUUAAAUGGUCUGUGAUACGUGUGAGUAAAAGAACAAGCGGUAUAGGCUUUUGGGAUUUCUAAAGUUUCAAUAAGGUAAUGCUUGCAAGGCAAGUUUGGAGAUUCAUCGAGUAUUCUCACACUCUAAGUGCAAGGUUACCUAAGAUUAAAUACAAUUAUGUUGGAGAUUUUAUGACUGCAUUUUAAGAUUUACACUAGAAUAUAUAUGGUGUAGUGUUCUUGCAGGUAGAAUUUUGUUGAGUGAUGAUAUCCUGUAGAAAGUGAAUAAUAGAAUACAAGUGAAUAACGGUAGGACAAAUGACUUUCAAAUCAAGAGAGUUAUAGAGUAUGGUCACUAAAACCACAAAAUUGUACCUUCAAAACAUGGUGCUAACUUAUAUAUCUUGAUGGACCUCGGCGGAAUUGGGAGUUAAUUGAUAACUUAUGUCAAUGAAAAGGUUUUUAGUAGAUUUGUAGCAUUUCAUCGAGUAGAUGAUUACUACCAAGCAAAAUAAUUUAGAGAUUUACAAAGUAUGGUAGCUAUACAUUUAAAUUUGGUUAGCGUAAAGUUUGGAGUAUAUGUUUCAUAGAAGAGACAAAAUUCUCGUCCAGCUCUCCAAUGUUCAUAUCGAAUAAAGUUCAAAUAAAACUAGUUUUUCCUGCACUAAACGCUUGUCUUAUAAUGUAUAUUAUAAUAUCAUCAUAUGCAAAGAUGAAAUAAUGUUAAAACAAUGACUCUAAGUGUUGAACGCCAAAAAUAUUAAAAGAGACGAAAAAUGAGUGAUGAGAGUAUAUGGAUAAAAAAAAAUAUAUAGUAUAUAUAAUACAUGUAUAUGAAACAAAUCAAAUAACAAAUCGAAAUAUUAUUAAACAAAUAAACAUUACGUUCAAAUUAAUUAAUUCUUUUUGCUAUUUCAUAUCGGGUUUAUUUUGAUUUUUUUUUUAAAUUUGGAUUUAAGUUUUUGGAAUUGGAAUACUUUGACUUAUUUUUCCUUACAAAAACUCGAUCGAGUUGACUUUUUCUUUGGGGAGAAGAUGAUCAAGUUGACUUUUUUGUAUUAAAAGAAAAUUAUGAAAUUUAAAAAUGUGUGAUUGGUGGGAAGUGAUAUUAAUUCUAUACAUAUGGAAUCUUGUUAUUCCAUGAAAGGUGCAAAAAAUCAAAAUUUUAAAACAUGUUUGAUAAUUAUUAUUCGUCUCAAAAAUUUAAUAAAAAAUAUAAAAAAUUUUAUAAAAUUUUAAUAAAUUUUAUUUUUUUUCUUAUAAGUAUUAAAAUUUUAUUAGUAAUAAAUUAGUGAUAUCUUAAUCAUAAAAUAAUAGUGUUUUAAACAUAAAAUAAACAUAUUUUAAUUUUAAUAAUUAUAAAUUAACUGAUUAGUGAUUUUUUUAGUGGAUUAAUAUUUUAAUUUUAAUAAUUAAGAAUGUUUGGUGGGGUUUUUUUUUUUUUAAAAAAAGAAUUAUUAAAUUUAAAAACUUUAUUCGCAUUUAAUGGUAUUAAAACGAAUAAUCAUAAUUAAAUAAUUAAAUCAUUUAAAACAUAAUUAAUUUUUAUUAAAUUACUAAUUAAAAAUAUAAUACCACGUCAUGUGUCUCCCCCGUGGAUUCCUCCGUCUCAUUAGAUUUUUUCUAUUUUCCUAUUUGGGAUUUUCCGGGAAACUAACUAAGCCGUAAUAACGCUCCUUUAUAAACCAAUCAGGAAACCACCGAACUCAACGCCAAUCAUUUCAAAAACCUUCAAACCAGACCGACAAUGGCGAAACCUAUAGACUUCAUUCCACUCUGUCUCCUUCUCUUCACUCUUCUUCACUCAUCUUCUGCAAACGAAGAUUCUGUUCACAAAAGUUUUCUGAACUGCAUGAUCAAGGAAACAAAUCCAGAAAUCUCAAACACCAUUUUCGCCAAAACAAACUCUUCUUACACCUCUGUUCUUCGAGCUUAUAUUCGUAAUGCCCGAUUCAAUACCUCCUCAGCGCCGAAACCCAUUAUUAUUAUAACCCCGUUGGAGGAAUCCCAUGUCCGGGCUGCUGUAAUUUGUACAAAGAAAGUAGGGUUUAUACUCAAAAUCCGCAGCGGCGGCCAUGACUACGACGGGAUCUCCUACGUCUCCGAUUCCCCUUUCUUCAUCCUCGAUAUGUACAAUUUGAGAACGGUAACCGUAGACAUGGAGGAAGAAUCAGCGUGGGUCGGCGCCGGCGCGACGCUUGGCGAAGUGUACCACGCGAUUUGGACGAAGAGUAAAGUUCAUGGGUUCCCCGCCGGAGUUUGUCCGACGGUCGGUGCCGGCGGACAUAUAAGCGGCGGCGGGUAUGGAAAUAUACUGAGAAAACAUGGAUUGUCUGUUGAUCAUAUGGUGGAUGCGAAGAUAGUUGAUGUGAAUGGAAGAAUUCUUGAUAGAGAAUCAAUGGGGGAAGAUCUGUUUUGGGCGAUCAGAGGAGGAGGAGGAGCAAGCUUUGGUGUGAUUUUAUCUUAUAAGAUCAAACUUGUUCCUGUUCCUGAAACUGUUACAGUUUUCAGAUUAGAAUAUCUCAUGGAUCAAAAUGCUUUGGACAUAACUCAUAAAUGGCAGUUCGUUGCUCCAAAAACCGACCCAAAUUUGUUCAUGAGAGUUCUAAUUCAACCUGUUACUAGAAACAAGAAGAGAACAAUCAGGACUACUAUUAUCACAUUGUUUCUGGGUAAAGCAGAUGAAGUGGUUUCCCUUUUGGGAAAGGAGUUUCCUGAAAUGGGUUUGAAGAAGGAGAAUUGCACAGAGAUGACAUGGGUUCAAUCUGUUCUGUGGUGGGCAAAUUUUGAUAAUGUCACUGAGAUUUCCCCAGAUGUUUUACUUGACAGAAAUCUUGACUCUGCAAAUUUCUUGAAGAGGAAAUCAGAUUAUGUGGGUAAGGAGAUUGGGAAAUCAGAUUUGGAGAGUCUAUUCAAGCAGAUGAUCAAGAUUGGGAAAGUGGGUUUGGUUUUCAACCCUUAUGGAGGGAGAAUGAGAGAGUUUUCUUCAACUGAAACUCCAUUUCCACACAGAGAAAAGCUUUACAAGAUUCAGUAUUCUGUGAACUGGGAAGAACCAGGGAAUGAUGCAGACAAGCAGUUUAUGAAUGAGAUUAGAACUCUCUAUGGGUUCAUGACACCUCUGGUUUCUCAAAAUCCCAGAAGUAGUUAUCUGAAUUACAGAGAUUUAGAUAUUGGAACCAACACAAAUGGUGGGAAAAUCUUUGAAGAAGGUGAAGUUUAUGGGAGAAAAUACUUUGGUGAUAAUUUUGAUAGGUUGGUGAAGGUGAAGACUGCAGUUGAUCCAGGGAAUUUCUUCUGGAAUGAACAGAGUAUACCUCCUCAUAAAAGUAAGGCAUGAAGAGGAAGAUGAUGAAGAAGAAAAAUCAAUUGAUUUGUAAUAAUUUACGAGAUUAUUUUCAAAUCUGAUUUUAUCAUGAACACAUUAUGCAUACAUAUUCACAGAAAAAUUAGCUUGUAUUAUUUGG